RNAcentral lists this ribosomal RNA (921 nucleotides) under Triticum aestivum (bread wheat). Its description in RNAcentral is "partial small subunit ribosomal RNA". The record is from RNAcentral. Lineage: Eukaryota; Viridiplantae; Streptophyta; Magnoliopsida; Poales; Poaceae.
AUGGCGUCCAUGACCAGGGAGACACCUGUCGCCCGUUUCGUUGAGGAGGAGGAGGAUGACCUUGUCGGCGAUGAUAGUGGGGACGACGGUGACGAGGUACUGGAGGUGAGGAGGCGCGUGUCCCGCUUCGCCGUCGGGGGAGACGACGGCGCCGGCGGGGCGGGAGAGGUGAGGAGGCGCGUGUCCCGCUUCGCCGUCGACGGGGGCAGCGGCUCGGGCGGCAGCCGCGGUGUCUUGUCAAGGAGACAGGAGGUCGUCGACGCGGGCGUCCAGGGCCGACGCCGCCACGACGGCGGCUGCGAGGGGGCCCGGACCCUGCCGCCGCCGCACGCGUGGCUGGCUGUGGAGGACACGAAGAAGAGCUUCGGGAGCGACAACGAGGAGCAUUGGGCGCGGCUUCUGCAGCGCGGGUCGGCUCAGGCGGAGGCGGCGCAGCCGCGGCGGAGCAGCUUCAGCGUGGUCCGGCGGGAGCGGGCGGCGCGGGAGGCGUGGCUGGACCGCGCGUGGGAGAUGAAGAAGAGCUGGCACGAGCGCAACGGUGGCGCCCCCGACGCCGACACCCCCGUGGUGGUCGUGGUGGGGAAGCAGACCGGCGGGUCCUCGUCCCCGUGCGCCUCCUCCUCCCCGCACCACCACUCGUCCGCCAGCGUCGCGAUGGACAUGGAGGAGGUGCGUGCGUGCAGGGACCUCGGCCUCGAGCUCCCCUCCGACGGCACCGUAGAAAUUCAAUGCUACGGCAUCUCCGCCGGCAGCAGCCCUACCCACAGCCACGCCAGCAGCGGCGCCGACUCGCCCUCCACCGCCGGCAGCUGCUCCAUCUCCAGCCCCAGCGCCGGGGAGGAUCCGGUGGACGUGAAGGCGAGGCUCAAGGUGUGGGCGCAAGCGGUGGCGUUGGCAUCCACCACCCGUCUCGGAUCUUGA